This 63-nucleotide transfer RNA is filed under the name Thaparocleidus varicus. RNAcentral's name for it is "tRNA-Gln". The record is from RNAcentral. Lineage: Eukaryota; Metazoa; Platyhelminthes; Monogenea; Dactylogyridea; Ancylodiscoididae.
UGUAGUAAAGUGUUUUAUGCAUAAUGUAUUUUGGUUACAUAGGUGGUUAGAUUCCUAUUACUU